GUGAAUCAUCAAAUCUUUGAACGCAAAUUGCACUCUCUGGUAUUCCUGAGAGUAUGCCUGUUUGAUAAUCAUUAUAAUCAAAAUCGCAGCGAAGCCUUUUGGGUGAAGCACAGAAGUUUGUGUCAUCCUAACUCUUUAAUAGACCUAAAAUUAACACUCUUUUUUCUCUCACUUUGAGACGUACAUAAUUUUUUUUAUUCGCCUACUCUUUUGGCAAAUGGUUUACAAGAUCUUGA
This 236-nucleotide unclassified non-coding RNA is filed under the name Rhizophagus clarus. RNAcentral describes it as "partial contains 5.8S ribosomal RNA and internal transcribed spacer 2". The stretch from base 1 to 71 matches the Rfam family "5.8S ribosomal RNA", at positions 84 to 154 of the family's 154-position model. The record is from RNAcentral. Lineage: Eukaryota; Fungi; Glomeromycota; Glomeromycetes; Glomerales; Glomeraceae.